GGAGCCUUGGCGCAAUGGUAGCGCGUUGGUUUUCGGCAUUGUGCCUGUUCACCAAAGGUUGAGGGUUCGAUCCCCUUGGGCUUCG
RNAcentral lists this transfer RNA (85 nucleotides) under Plenodomus lingam JN3. Its description in RNAcentral is "tRNA-Arg for anticodon UCG". It matches the Rfam family "tRNA". Rfam says of the family: Transfer RNA (tRNA) molecules are approximately 80 nucleotides in length. Their secondary structure includes four short double-helical elements and three loops (D, anti-codon, and T loops). Further hydrogen bonds mediate the characteristic L-shaped molecular structure. tRNAs have two regions of fundamental functional importance: the anti-codon, which is responsible for specific mRNA codon recognition, and the 3' end, to which the tRNAs corresponding amino acid is attached (by aminoacyl-tRNA synthetases). tRNAs cope with the degeneracy of the genetic code in two manners: having more than one tRNA (with a specific anti-codon) for a particular amino acid; and 'wobble' base-pairing, i.e. permitting non-standard base-pairing at the 3rd anti-codon position. Lineage: Eukaryota; Fungi; Ascomycota; Dothideomycetes; Pleosporales; Leptosphaeriaceae. The record is from Rfam by way of RNAcentral.